This 950-nucleotide ribosomal RNA is filed under the name uncultured archaeon. RNAcentral's name for it is "bacterial SSU rRNA". It matches the Rfam family "Archaeal small subunit ribosomal RNA", at positions 1 to 941 of the family's 1478-position model. The record is from RNAcentral.
UUCCGGUUGAUCCCGCCGGACCCGACUGCUAUUUGGGUGAGAAUAAGCCAUGCGAGUUGAAUGGGAUACCUAAAGUUCCCAUAGCAAACUGCUCAGUAACACAUGAUCAACUUGCCCUAUAGAGAAAAAUAACCUCGGGAAACUGAGGAUAAUGUUUCAUAAUUGAAUUGGCUUGGAAAAGUUUUUCAAUGAAAAGGAUAAAAAAAAUGGUUUUUAUCUGCUAUAGGAUAGGAUCGUGUUCGAUUAUGGUUGUUGGUGAGAUAAUGGCUCACCAAGCCGAUAAUCGAUAGGGGCCGUGAGAGCGGGAGCCCCGAGAUGGGUACUGAGACAACGACCCAGGCCUUACGAGGCGCAGCAGGCGCGGAACCUUCGCAAUACACGAAAGUGUGACGGGGUUACCCAAAGUGUUCAAUAGAACUGUGGUAGGUGAGUAAUGUCCCCUACUAGAAAGGAGAGGGCAAGGCUGGCGCCAGCCGCCGCGGUAAAACCAGCUCUUCAAGUGGUCGGGAUAAUUAUUGGGCUUAAAGUGUCCGUAGCCGGUUUAGUAAGUUCCUGGUAAAAUCGGGUAGCUUAACUAUCUGCAUGCUAGGAAUACUGCUAUACUAGAGGGCGGGAGAGGUCUGAGGUACUACAGGGGUAGGGGUGAAAUCUUAUAAUCCUUGUAGGACCACCAGUGGCGAAGGCGUCAGACUGGAACGCGCCUGACGGUGAGGGACGAAAGCCAGGGGAGCGAACCGGAUUAGAUACCCGGGUAGUCCUGGCCGUAAACGAUGCAUACUAGGUGAUGGUACGGCCAUGAGCCGUAUCAGUGCCGUAGGGAAACCGUUAAGUGUGCCGCCUGGGAGGUACGGUCGCAAGGCUAAAACUUAAAGGAAUUGGCGGGGGAGCACCACAAGGGGUGAAGCCUGCGGUUCAAUUGGAUUCAACGCCGGGAAUCACUAGUGCGGCCG